UUCGGAUCGGAGUCUGCAACCCGACUCCGUGAAGCUGGAUUCACUAGUAAUCGCGCAUCAGCCAUGGCGCGGUGAAUACGUUCCCGGGCCUUGUACACACCGCCCGUCAAGCCAUGGGGAGGCCGGGGGUGCUUGAAGUGCGUCGCCGCAAGGCGCGCCCUAGAGCCAAAACCGGUGACUGGGGCUAAGUCGUAACAAGGUAAC
RNAcentral lists this ribosomal RNA (204 nucleotides) under uncultured bacterium. RNAcentral describes it as "partial 16S ribosomal RNA". It matches the Rfam family "Bacterial small subunit ribosomal RNA", at positions 1292 to 1500 of the family's 1533-position model. The record is from RNAcentral.